This is a small nuclear RNA of Cheilinus undulatus (humphead wrasse), 104 nucleotides long. The record is from RefSeq and is a predicted model, not a curated record. NCBI's taxonomy places the organism in Eukaryota, Metazoa, Chordata, Actinopteri, Labriformes, Labridae.
GUCACUGACUGUGACGCAUGAUAAACUGGGAAUGAUACAGAGAAGAUCAGCAUGGCCCCUGGCGCAAGGAUGACACGCAUGAUCGUGGAGCGUUCUCAUUUUAG